UACGUAGGUGACAAGCGUUGUCCGGAUUUAUUGGGCGUAAAGCGUCCGCAGGUGGCAGUUCAAGUCUGCUGUCAAAGACCGGGGCUUAACUUCGGAAAGGCAGUGGAAACUGAACAGCUAGAGUAUGGUAGGGGCAGAGGGAAUUCCUGGUGUAGCGGUGAAAUGCGUAGAUAUCAGGAAGAACAUCGGUGGCGAAGGCGCUCUGCUGGACCAUAACUGACACUCAGGGACGAAAGCUAGGGGAGCGAAUGGG
RNAcentral lists this ribosomal RNA (253 nucleotides) under uncultured bacterium. Its description in RNAcentral is "partial 16S ribosomal RNA". It matches the Rfam family "Bacterial small subunit ribosomal RNA", at positions 524 to 776 of the family's 1533-position model. The record is from RNAcentral.